RNAcentral lists this ribosomal RNA (670 nucleotides) under uncultured bacterium. RNAcentral's name for it is "bacterial SSU rRNA". It matches the Rfam family "Bacterial small subunit ribosomal RNA", at positions 9 to 694 of the family's 1533-position model. The record is from RNAcentral.
GAGUUUGAUCCUGGCUCAGGACGAACGCUGGCGGCGUGCCUAACACAUGCAAGUCGAGCGAAUGAAGUUCCUUCGGGAACGGAUUUAGCGGCGGACGGGUGAGUAACACGUGGGCAACCUGCCUCAUAGAGGGGAAUAGCCUUCCGAAAGGGAGAUUAAUACCGCAUAAGAUUGUAGUACCGCAUGGUACAGCAAUUAAAGGAGCAAUCCGCUAUGAGAUGGGCCCGCGGCGCAUUAGCUAGUUGGUGAGGUAACGGCUCACCAAGGCGACGAUGCGUAGCCGACCUGAGAGGGUGAUCGGCCACAUUGGGACUGAGACACGGCCCAGACUCCUACGGGAGGCAGCAGUGGGGAAUAUUGCACAAUGGGGGAAACCCUGAUGCAGCAACGCCGCGUGAGUGAUGACGGCCUUCGGGUUGUAAAGCUCUGUCUUCAGGGACGAUAAUGACGGUACCUGAGGAGGAAGCCACGGCUAACUACGUGCCAGCAGCCGCGGUAAUACGUAGGUGGCGAGCGUUGUCCGGAUUUACUGGGCGUAAAGGGAGCGUAGGCGGAUUUUUAAGUGAGAUGUGAAAUACUCGGGCUUAACCUGAGUGCUGCAUUUCAAACUGGAAGUCUAGAGUGCAGGAGAGGAGAAGGGAAUUCCUAGUGUAGCGGUGAAAUGCGUAGA